RNAcentral lists this small RNA (53 nucleotides) under Caenorhabditis elegans. RNAcentral's name for it is "Unclassified non-coding RNA Y22D7AR.19". Lineage: Eukaryota; Metazoa; Nematoda; Chromadorea; Rhabditida; Rhabditidae. The record is from RNAcentral.
GGCGAGAGACGCAGACGACGAGAGGCGCGUGUCGUCUGCGUCUCUCCCCCUCC